RNAcentral lists this ribosomal RNA (597 nucleotides) under uncultured bacterium. Its description in RNAcentral is "bacterial SSU rRNA". It matches the Rfam family "Bacterial small subunit ribosomal RNA", at positions 331 to 929 of the family's 1533-position model. The record is from RNAcentral.
CCAGACUCCUACGGGAGGCAGCAGUGAGGAAUAUUGGACAAUGGUCGGAAGACUGAUCCAGCCAUGCCGCGUGCAGGAUGAAGGUCUUAUGGAUUGUAAACUGCUUUUGUAAGGGAAGAAUAAGGGCUACGUGUAGUUUGAUGACGGUACCUUACGAAUAAGCAUCGGCUAACUCCGUGCCAGCAGCCGCGGUAAUACGGAGGAUGCGAGCGUUAUCCGGAAUCAUUGGGUUUAAAGGGUCUGUAGGCGGGCUGGUAAGUCAGAGGUGAAAGCGCUUAGCUCAACUGAGCAACUGCCUUUGAAACUGUUGGUCUUGAAUGGUUGUGAAGUAGUUGGAAUGUGUAGUGUAGCGGUGAAAUGCUUAGAUAUUACACAGAACACCGAUAGCGAAGGCAUAUUACUAACAAUUGAUUGACGCUGAUGGACGAAAGCGUGGGGAGCGAACAGGAUUAGAUACCCUGGUAGUCCACGCUGUAAACGAUGGAUACUAGCUGUUUGGACGCGAGUUUGAGUGGCUAAGCGAAAGUGAUAAGUAUCCCACCUGGGGAGUACGUUCGCAAGAAUGAAACUCAAAGGAAUUGACGGGGCCCGCACAAG